Molecule: ribosomal RNA, 466 nt
Filed under: Vreelandella stevensii
Lineage: Bacteria; Pseudomonadati; Pseudomonadota; Gammaproteobacteria; Oceanospirillales; Halomonadaceae
Description: partial 16S ribosomal RNA
Rfam family: Bacterial small subunit ribosomal RNA
Source: RNAcentral
CCUACGGGAGAGCUGCAGUGGGGAAUAUUGGACAAUGGGCGAAAGCCUGAUCCAGCCAUGCCGCGUGUGUGAAGAAGGCCUUCGGGUUGUAAAGCACUUUCAGUGGGGAAGAAAGCCUUGGGGCUAAUACCCUCGAGGAAGGACAUCACCCACAGAAGAAGCACCGGCUAACUCCGUGCCAGCAGCCGCGGUAAUACGGAGGGUGCGAGCGUUAAUCGGAAUUACUGGGCGUAAAGCGCGCGUAGGCGGUCUGAUAAGCCGGUUGUGAAAGCCCCGGGCUCAACCUGGGAACGGCAUCCGGAACUGUCAGGCUAGAGUGCAGGAGAGGAAGGUAGAAUUCCCGGUGUAGCGGUGAAAUGCGUAGAGAUCGGGAGGAAUACCAGUGGCGAAGGCGGCCUUCUGGACUGACACUGACGCUGAGGUGCGAAAGCGUGGGUAGCAAACAGGAUUAGAUACCCCGGUAGUC